RNAcentral lists this ribosomal RNA (776 nucleotides) under Amycolatopsis sp. RNAcentral describes it as "bacterial SSU rRNA". It matches the Rfam family "Bacterial small subunit ribosomal RNA", at positions 57 to 849 of the family's 1533-position model. The record is from RNAcentral. Lineage: Bacteria; Bacillati; Actinomycetota; Actinomycetes; Pseudonocardiales; Pseudonocardiaceae.
GCAGUCGACGCUGAAGCACCUUCGGGUGUGGAUGAGUGGCGAACGGGUGAGUAACACGUGGGUAAUCUGUCCUGUACUCUGGGAUAAGCCCUGGAAACGGGGUCUAAUACCGGAUAUGACUUCGCACCGCAUGGUGUGGGGUGGAAAGUUCUGGCGGUACAGGGUGAGCCCGCGGCCUAUCAGCUUGUUGGUGGGGUGAUGGCCUACCAAGGCGACGACGGGUAGCCGGCCUGAGAGGGUGACCGGCCACACUGGGACUGAGACACGGCCCAGACUCCUACGGGAGGCAGCAGUGGGGAAUAUUGCACAAUGGGCGCAAGCCUGAUGCAGCGACGCCGCGUGGGGGAUGACGGCCUUCGGGUUGUAAACCUCUUUCGCCAGGGACGAAGCGUAAGUGACGGUACCUGGAGAAGAAGCACCGGCUAACUACGUGCCAGCAGCCGCGGUAAUACGUAGGGUGCGAGCGUUGUCCGGAAUUAUUGGGCGUAAAGAGCUCGUAGGCGGUUUGUUGCGUCGGCCGUGAAAACUGGAGGCUUAACCUUCAGCUUGCGGUCGAUACGGGCAGACUUGAGUUCGGUAGGGGAGACUGGAAUUCCUGGUGUAGCGGUGAAAUGCGCAGAUAUCAGGAGGAACACCGGUGGCGAAGGCGGGUCUCUGGGCCGAUACUGACGCUGAGGAGCGAAAGCGUGGGGAGCGAACAGGAUUAGAUACCCUGGUAGUCCACGCUGUAAACGUUGGGCGCUAGGUGUGGGUGACAUCCACGUUGUCCGUGCCGU